This 468-nucleotide ribosomal RNA is filed under the name uncultured bacterium. RNAcentral describes it as "partial 16S ribosomal RNA". It matches the Rfam family "Bacterial small subunit ribosomal RNA", at positions 28 to 507 of the family's 1533-position model. The record is from RNAcentral.
GACGAACGCUGGCGGCGUGCUUAACACAUGCAAGUCGAACGGAAAGGCCCUGCUUUUGUGGGGUGCUCGAGUGGCGAACGGGUGAGUAACACGUGAGUAACCUGCCCUUGACUUUGGGAUAACUUCAGGAAACUGGGGCUAAUACCGGAUAGGAGCUCCUGCUGCAUGGUGUGGGUUGGAAAGUUUCGGCGGUUGGGGAUGGACUCGCGGCUUAUCAGCUUGUUGGUGGGGUAGUGGCUUACCAAGGCUUUGACGGGUAGCCGGCCUGAGAGGGUGACCGGCCACAUUGGGCCUGAGAUACGGCCCAGAAUCCUAUGGGAGGCAGCAGUGGGGAAUAUUGCACAAUGGGCGGAAGCCUGAUGCAGAAACGCCGCGUGCGGGAUGACGGCCUUCGGGUUGUAAACCGAUUUCGCCUGUGCCGAAGCGUGAGUGACGGUAAUGGGUAAAGAAGCCCCGGCUAACUACGUG